This 253-nucleotide ribosomal RNA is filed under the name uncultured bacterium. Its description in RNAcentral is "partial 16S ribosomal RNA". It matches the Rfam family "Bacterial small subunit ribosomal RNA", at positions 524 to 776 of the family's 1533-position model. The record is from RNAcentral.
UACGAAGGGGGCGAGCGUUGUUCGGAAUUACUGGGCGUAAAGGGCGCGCAGGCGGCUCUGAAAGUCAGAUGUGAAAGCCCCGGGCUUAACCUGGGAAUGGCAUUUGGGACUGCAAGGCUUGAGUGCGGCAGAGGAGACUGGAAUUCCUGGUGUAGCAGUGAAAUGCGUAGAUAUCAGGAGGAAUACCGAUGGCGAAGGCAGGUCUCUGGGCUGACACUGACGCUCAUGCACGAAAGCGUGGGGAGCAAACAGG